GGCCUCGCUCCAAUACCUGUGGGUCAACAGUCCUUACAGGUCCUCCAAGCAUCCAUGAUUGUUUGUUCCUGCAACGUCCUGACUGACCACGACGUGCGUAACGUUGUGACCCAAGCCAAGGAUUUUCCGCGCACGGCUGGGCAGGUCUCCGGCUGCCUGGGCUGUAGCGCCGAAUGCGGCCGUUGCGCCCGAACCAUCAAGAAAAUCAUGGAUGAAGCGCUGGGUGCCUGCGCCAAGGCUUGCU
RNAcentral lists this unclassified non-coding RNA (244 nucleotides) under Hevea brasiliensis (rubber tree). Lineage: Eukaryota; Viridiplantae; Streptophyta; Magnoliopsida; Malpighiales; Euphorbiaceae. The record is from RNAcentral.